AGACUUUGAUCCUGGCUCAGAUUGAACGCUGGCGGCAGGCCUAACACAUGCAAGUCGAGCGGCAGCACGGGAGCUUGCUCCUGGUGGCGAGCGGCGGACGGGUGAGUAAUGCCUAGGAAUCUGCCUGUUAGUGGGGGAUAACUCGGGGAAACUCGAGCUAAUACCGCAUACGUCCUACGGGAGAAAGUGGGGGACCUUCGGGCCUCACGCUAACAGAUGAGCCUAGGUCGGAUUAGCUAGUUGGUGGGGUAAAGGCUCACCAAGGCGACGAUCUCUAGCUGUUCUGAGAGGAUGAUCAGCCACACUGGGACUGAGACACGGCCCAGACUCCUACGGGAGGCAGCAGUGGGGAAUAUUGCACAAUGGGGGAAACCCUGAUGCAGCCAUGCCGCGUGUGUGAAGAAGGCCUUCGGGGUUGUAAAGCACUUUCAGUGGUGAGGAAGGGCGUAAGAUUAAUACUCUUGCGCAUUGACCUUAGCCACAGAGAAAGCACCGGGUUAACUUCCGUGCCAAAACCCGCGGUAAAACCGAGGGGGGCAAGCGUUAAACCGGAA
RNAcentral lists this ribosomal RNA (554 nucleotides) under uncultured bacterium. RNAcentral's name for it is "bacterial SSU rRNA". It matches the Rfam family "Bacterial small subunit ribosomal RNA", at positions 8 to 550 of the family's 1533-position model. The record is from RNAcentral.